UUGGGUACCAUCUACCGAUCAUUGUAUGUACGAUUUCUGUAGCAUCUACAUCAUCUAACUAGCGCGACACUGCGAGAUUUCACUGUAGCAAUGGCAUUUUUGGGGAUGUAGAGCUGAAGUGAGAUUUUUACUGGCUUGCCUCGUUUCUUUUCCUGCUCCGUUUUUACAAAUGUACAAGGGAAACGUCUGAAAGUAUUAUCUUGUAUUUUAUCUGUAUUUUUCUGGCUGAAGGUAUGUAACUCGUGUAUGAUGUGUCCUUGCGUAAAGGCGUAAAGAUUGUUCAUGGUUGUCAUCGACGCAUCAUGGGCUCCAAGCUCCUAAAAGGUGAAGGAAAUAAAAAUCUUCAGAUAUCAGCCCAUUUAAAUCAGCGGACGGCCCCCGACUUCUCAGCCCACUUAAAGACAACCGGCCCACCGUGUCAUCCAACGGCCCCUUUAGAUAAAAAGACCGAAAAAAAAUUCCCUCCAAAACUCCGCGUCACUCGUCACUCGUCGCUCGCCAUCUUCCCCAAAAAUUUUCGAACGCCAAACCCUAACUCUCAUUCUCAAUCCCAAUUCGCAAGUCUCGUCACCAUGGACGUCGGCGGAAGCGGGGGUGGCAGCGGCAUCAUCUUGUCGCCGGGGACGGAGGACGACAAGUUUGCGCGGAGGCGCUCCCGCCGCGUGAGCUUCGCGGACACCACCGCGGUGCACGUGUUCUACCGCGACGAGGACUUCGAGACGCCCCCCGAGGAGCGCGAGCCCGGCUCCGCGUCCCCGUCCCCUGGGAAGUCCUCGGCGGAGCGGGGCGAUGGGGACGACACGGAGGAGUUCCCGGUCAUCUUCCUGCCGGACAUGGAGUCAUCAUCCCCCGGCAGCGCCGCCGGAUCCAUCGCCUCCGCUGAUGGUGAAACCCUCCUUCCUUUGUUUCGAAAUGAAAAGCUCUGUUAACUGGCACGUUUGAUUUUGUUACGACUUAUGACCGUGUACCCCACAUUGUUGGCUUCCAUAGUUGAUGGGCAAUUAGGUUCGUUAUUUGAAACUUCUGAUGCUCAGAUUGCUGCAUUUGUCAAUUCAAUUAUGUUAAGCUUCGCUGCUUGGAGGUUCCUUAAUCUUUCAGUUUCGGAUUCAAAUGUUUAGUGUCAGUCUGUCAGAUGUGACAUACCUUGUUGCUUAAUGUUGGCAAAUUUGCUGCGCUUAGUGCUGAAUUGCGAGUAUAGAUGCAGAUAGGGAUCUAAAAAUGAGUGUGUUUAUUGCACAAUAUAUUAGGUCAGCAGACAUUCUUGUAGUGCUUGCUCAUUAAGAUCACGAAAACCAAGCAUUGUUAAUGGAUUGAAGAUGCCGGUACUCGCUUCUCUAUUUAGAAGUUAUAAGUUAAACAUCACUAUAUGACAUGGGGUGUCUUGCUUUUAUGUAUCCAUGCAUCUAGUGUGGGUGUGCAAACCUUCAUUCUUUUAGUUUUAUGCUAACCAAGAUGUCAUAUUACUUGUUGAAAAGCUUCUUGUAAUCUCACUAUGCCCAUUCCUAUGGACAGAUGAUAACUUCUUUGGACCUGUAUCAACAAGCUUUAUUCAAACAGGAAGACCAUCUGAUUCUGGAAUGUCAGAGGAUGAUAACCAUGAUAUAACUAUGGAUUCCAGGACGUUCUCUAUGCAUUUUCGCAAUAUUGCUCCACCAGAUGACUGUACAGCCAACUCAGCUGCCAGUCUAAUGACACCUAAUACUGAAUCUAAGGGACCCCUGAAGGAACUGACUGUAUCUGAUCCUGGAAAAACAUUGAGUAGUGGUCAGACUGACAUGAGUUUGUUGAAUGUUAACCCCAGAAGUUACAAUUAUGGCAAGCUAUCACCCACACUGAGCAGUAUGAUACAGAAGGUAAAAGUGGGCCAGCAAACAGAGUCUCCUAAAGCUGGCAUUGCUGAUGUAACUCCUGAUUCUGUUUUAACCUUGCCUUCAUCUGAGGAAGAAAAUAGGGAAGAAAACUUAUGCAAUGACAAUGUUAUAUCUUCUGAUGAGCUGGGCACUGUUAAUACUAUCGCGGAGCACAUUUCCAUGAGUAAUCCAGUUUCAAACAGCACAUAUCAAAUUCAAGAAGAUAGUGAAAUGAUAACUGAUGGUCAUGAGAAUUCACAGGUUCGAUAUUUGAUCCUUUAAAUUUGGUAUUGAACUUCUUUAAUACCUUUUAGUUAUACAGUAGAACUUGUAAGUAACUGGAGCACCGAAACACUUUCUGAUAUAUUGAUGUUCCAGCAUAAAGUUUGGCUGGCAUAUGGAUACUAGGGAAACUCGUAUUUGGAAUAGGAGAGACUAAUAUCCUUCAUAGUUGUAGUCAAGCACAGUUGUCUCACUCACUGUUGAAUUUGCCAGCUUAUGUCUCUGACUGUGUUUUACUUAUUCUUGUUUCCCAUAGAUUUAGUACCAUUGGUUAUUUUGAUUUAUGUGCAUCCAUUGCUUUGGUGCUUAUCUGUGUAUUGUAAUUUAACUAUUUUGCAGAACGGAAACCAUGACCCCAUGGUUAUUGACCCUGGUGUUGAUAAUACCGUAGAACCUCCUGCAAAGCUUUCUCCAGCAUGUAAAUCCUUCGUGAAUAACGUUGACAUGCAAUCCCAUCUGUUAGAUCAAUCCUUGUUGAAAGAUCAACCAUCUGGAUCAAAUUGCACUGCAAGUGCUUCCUCUAUGUGUAAUGUUGACUCAGAACCCAAUCUGUUGGAUCAAUCACCUGGAACAAAUAACGUUACUGAUGCUUCCCAAUUAUCAAGUGCAGCUCUUGCCAUUUUGCUGAUGGAUGCUGAGCAGCUGCACCAGCAAAAUGAAGUGAUGGAUAGAGAAACCAUUCUACAUACUCCGAGAACUGUAGAUCAGCAAUUGCAAGUUCCACAAGGCUCUAUAUCCUCCCUACGCUUGAAAAGGCAGAAACUCUUCAGUGCUACUCCUCUAUCCAAUGGUAAAGUGGCAAACCAGGAGGCUUAUUCUUUGGUUAGCGAGUUUGCUGAACAUGGCAAUAGAAUUUCUACCCUGAAGAAUGCAUUGAAGACCAGGCUUCAAGAAUCACCUGCAGCUUCCCGGUUACCAUUGGUCGAAAAGAAUGAACUUAGUCAUCAAGAAAAUGACAUGUUCAGAAAUCCUGAAGAUCAUGAUUCCAACUUAUCUGUUUCUUCUAAUUCUGUUCCACGACGACAACUGAAGAAAACUAGUGAGUCUUUUAUCCUAGGCACUCCAACACAGGUGCUAAAUGAAGCCACUAAGGUUCAGGAGACUUCAUGUCGUGUCCUUACUUUGGAUAGCCAACCUAGUCAUGAAUGCAAUCCCCUCCUCGAUUUAGAUGGUGCUGGAAGAAAGAAAACUGUUAAAGAAAAUGGUCAUGCCGUGCAAGAGUGUCCUGAGGAAAUAGCUGAGGCAGCAAGAAGCCCUAGAAAAUCAAGAAAAGAGCUUUCUUGUGUAUCUCAAUCUUCUCCUAGAAUUGAAGGAAAACAGAAUGAUGCUCAUGAUAAAGGGCAGUUAGUUAAUGUUGAUUGGAACAAGGUAAAAGUGACAAGUUUAUAUAUCCAAACUUUAAGUACUACACAAAGUUUUUGAUUGUUGAAGUGAUUAGAUUCUUUAAAAAAUCAGGACUUUUCUCUUUUGUACAGAUACUACGUACCAUCUCUGAUGCAACAGAGCAAGUUUUGUUGGCAUCAAUAAGUAAGCUUAAUUUACAACAGGUAUACUUUCCCCCUCACUGUAGUAAAGUAACAUAAAUUUUUUGUUAGAAAAAAUCUUUUACUCUGCAUGGCUGAUUUUGAAAAAUGUAUUUCAACAGUUGUCCUAUUGAAGGGUUUGCAAUACAUUGACCUGCUGUAUUGCCUCUAGCUAGCAUCGUAUUGUGUCAGCUGAAUUGUAAACUUGUUUUCUAGAUGAACUUAAUAAAGAGUAAAUUUCAGUGAACUACAACUGUGCCCAGAAUUAUCAUAAAAAUAGUUUUGUGCUUAACUUGUAUCCAAAACCACACAAAUGUGUCCAUAUUACUGUGAACUGUGCUUUCUAACCAACAGCAUUACUUUGGACGUGAACUGACAUCCUGGGCUGACAUGUAAGACAGGUGCAGCUCACAAACUAACCGCACCAUAUGACUGAAAUGCGAAUUGUCAUAUAACUAACCAUGUUAGCUAAAAAGUGUGGUUUGGCUAUAAAUAUGCUCCAAAAAGUUAUGUAGCUUUGACAAAUAUGCUCCAAAAAACAUAGUUUUCGAUGAUUUAGACUACAUAAUUGUUGCUAUAUAAAGAAUAAUAUCUUUGUACCAAUUUUUAGUGUCUUGGAGGAUUCAUGAUGUCUACUUCACCAUUGUUUUCAUGAUGUCUACUUCACCAAUGUUUUCUUGCCUUUUUUCUUUUCUUUUUUCUUGUCUCGAGGAUGUAAAACGCUUGUAAUAGUAAACGACGUGAAUCAUAAACUUGAUAUCUGGGAAUCUUUUAGGCAAUACACGAAGUGGCAUUAUCUUGUGAAUAAUACAUCAUGGUUUCUUCUUUAAUUAGAUGAUUCUAUCCCUUGGAAAAUUGUUCGAUUUAUUUCCAAACACAUCUAUCCUGAAGCUCCAUAUUUCUGACCCUAAAACAUACUGGCAAUCUUUCACACUUGUGGUCGUGGAGACUAGUCUGAUGUUUUGAGCCUAUCUGAAACAAUUGAUAGAGGUUCCAACUGGCAAUCUUUCACACUUGUGGUCGUGGAGACUAGUCUGAUGUUUUGAGCCUAUCUGAAACAAUUGAUAGAGGUUCCAACUGAUAUUCAGAAUCUUUAGUUCUCUAGAUUUGUUCAGUGAAUUUCUGUCCAGAAAAUUAAUUUUUCAUAUGGCAUAUCACAUAUACUCCCUAUGUUUUUAAAUAUAUGACAUCUAGGACAAGCUAAUUAGCAGUCAAGGUGUUCUAUUACUCUUCUUAAUGAAAUGAAAUGCAGCUCUUCAGCGUUUUCGAGAAAAAAAGGUGUUCCGUUUAAAUUUUUAUGACAUUCAGUUGUCAUACUUAAUGUUGUUAUCUGUCUGUUUUUCUUUUGAAUGAAGCUUGAUGCGCUAAGCGAUAAGCUGGAUGAGGUUCAUAUGGCUAGAAAAUAUAAAAGGCUUUCUACUGCUGUGGUAUGCUCUCAUCUUUUAUCUUUUAAUUUUAGCAACAUGUUUCCUAUUGCCUAUUGGGAUUAUUUUUUCCACUUAUCUAGGUGACAUGUUUGUUCUUUGUACCCAGAGGAUCAAAGAUUGCUGUAGUGCUAAGCAAAAGAGGUACCUAUUGAUUAACAUAUGCAUUUCAUUUGUUGCUGGCUGCUUGGAGAUAUAAUCUAGUUUAUAACUCUACGUGCUUCCCCAGAUUAGAGGAGGCAAGAUCUCUCCAUGAGAAGCUUUUCUAUGCAAAGGCAAAGCUACAAAUAAAUAAUAUGAAGCUAGCUAAACUCCGAGUAGGAUUUCUUCAUCUUUUUUAAAGACCUUAUGGCCUGUAAGUUGCAGUCAGAUGCUAACUUACUCCUUUUUUUCCAUUUUGGUUCAGAAUAAGGCUCAGCUAUAUCAAGAUGGAAUUCAAGAGUGCUGCAUUCUGAAAUCUAAGAUAUUGGGUGCUGCACAAAUGAAGGAUGCUUGUCUUCCUGCAGCAACUUCUAUCAAUGCCAGUGAUGGACAGGUAAUGAUUUAAUGAUUUAAUUGCCUUGUUAGUUUUAGCUGUCAAGCCUGUAUCUAAGCCAACUAUAAGAGUGCAGACAACUAAGCAAUGGAUCUGCACCCCAAUCAUGUAAAUGACUUUUGGGUGCCAUGGUGUUGAUCUAUUAAGUCUGGACUUUGAGUAGUCAUUCUUCUUGUGGUUACUACUGCUUCGAUAGCUUCUAUUAUGUAUGUUGUUACAACCAUCCUUUUCCAUUGCUCUCAUUCGUCUUUAUCCUUUAUCCUGGGUAAUAUUACGUUGCUUAUACUGUCACCUAUUCUUGCAUCUGGUAAACUAAAGUAGAGAAAUCUGCAUGGUUGUGAAAUUUAUGCAGAAACUUGUUCACGCUCAUACAAAAUUCUCUUUGUCCCAGUGAUUUAUACUUCUUGUGUUUACCCAGGAAGAGCUUGCUAUUUUGACUGAGAAGCGGCUUGAACUCAACAAUAUUCAACAGAAGGUGGAGAACUUAAGGAAUUCCCUUGAAUGUUUUCGCAAUAUUGAAGGUGACGUUAGUUGUGAAAGUGUUAUGAGGCGUGCUGAGGAGCAGUUGAAGAUGAGAAAUCAGUGUCACUUCAUCCACCAGCAAGCAGGGGUACUGGUUUAUGACUUAGUGUUAAAUCUACUGUGCAUACUUCUCUAUCUGCAGCACCCCCACCCCCCGCUUACAAUUUUUUGUUUUGUUUAUUCAGCUCUGCGAGCUGACUGGCAUAGUUAAAAGGGACAAUAAGCGUGAUCUCAUCCUCAACUAUCACAAUUUAUUGUUCCAAAGGUAAUCAUUCUGCGUACUUUAGCAUUGUUAUUGCUACGUCAUUGGUUCUUGGUUUAAACUGUCUCAGACUCAGUUGCAAGUUUCUGAUAGAAAUCUGUAUUUUUUUUUGUUUCUCCAUAUGUUUUAGGUUCUAAUUUUGUGAAAUGAUAGAGGACAUCAUACCUUUUGUUUUAAAAAAUAAAGGAUUUUCAUGGUUACAUUCAUAGUUUUGGAGCAUUUUAUACUAACCUAACCCUGGAGAUCCAAAAUUGCAUGAAAAUAAUGAUGAAAAAUGCUUGAAGUAUUUUUCUAUCAAGGAUAUCAUGUCCUCUAUUGUCCCACAAAACUUGAACUUAAACUCAACUUAUUCAUGGAGAGGAAAAAAGAUAAUCUUAUGGGUAGAUUGGACCAGUUAUAAUUGUUUAGGGGAGAAUUGAGCUGAAAUUUUGUUCAGGGGGUCAAGUGGAUAAAGUGGAUUAUUCGGAGUAGUAAAAUGGACCUUUUCCAACAUAAAUCUAGGUGAUUCCCUUUGAUUCUGGUGAACUUGCUUGGACCUGACAAGUUGCAACCAUUUAUGCCCACUGUUUUUGAAAGAAUACUCUAUGCAAUAAUAUGCAAAAAAGAUUGUUAUGGGCCAAAACUCUUUAGCAGCCAAAUAAAGUCCCUGUUCUCCUGUCUCUUUAUCUUUUUUCUCCCCCUGAUUUAUAAGUCAAACUAUGGUACUGCGCUCCUGGCUGGUAAAGCCUGCUGCAAUUGUCUUAGCUUCUGUAAAUCAUUGUAGCAUGGCAAUAAAUAAAUAUAUUUUGUUUCAUCAUUUGAAGUGCCUUAUUUUGUUUCCUACCAUUCUUUUGACAGGAUCAUCUUAAACAUGAGUGAUAUGUCUAGCAUAUUUGUGAAUAAUUCACUGAAUGGAACCAAAAUAGGACAGGUGAGAUGAUCAAACUGUUUUCAUUCUUCUGUAUGCAAUCAAUUUCAUGACACUUUACUCUUGGUCAGAUAUUCCCAAAUUUGGAUGCCUCUAUGGCAUUCAAUUUUCUUUUCAAAGCUGAGGAGAACCAAAGAGUUCAUGAUUUACAAUCCUUGCAGCAGAUGACGAUGGUGAGUUUAUCUUUGAAUUUAGAAUUUCUAUGUGCAGGAAUUCUAGCUGUUCACUUUUAGAAUGCUUAUUCUUAUCAAAUGACAUUACCUACACCUUCCUUCUAUGAAGUGAACAUAUGCGGACAUCACCCCUUUAUCACAUGUUUUGCCACAUCAGUAAUUAGCUGUAUCUGUUUGAGCAUAGUUAUACUAAAUUUUUUGAAAUGGCUGUUGUGUUCAAAGGCGUAUAAAGGUCCUGUUUACUAACAUGCAUUAUUUAUUUAUUUUUGCAGGAAACAAGUUUGCUUCUGGGCAAUCUUAUUGAUGUUUUAGAAGAAAUCAAGUUAGCUAAAAUGGAGUUACUAAAUCUUACUUCAGCUGCUUUUGUGUUGGAGUCCCAGACAUGUGUGCUCUCUAUCUCUUCUACCUUUUAUCUUCAAGUACUGGUGUGAUUUUGUCAUAAAGCAGUGAUAUUGAAUUGUUUGUUAACAUAGUAUAUCAUUCAUGGAAUGUUAGGUUCACAUCCAUAACUGUGACAAUGGGAUGCAAUGCAUAAAUUUUCGUUUGUUAGUAUAUCACUCAUAGCAAUAUGUAGCAUGUUUUAGUGAUAAUAUUGAAGAAGGCAUAUUACCGAUAUUAGUAAAACAUAGUUCUGUGCUUUAAAUUGUGAGUUUAGGAGAGCUCCAACACCCAAGCUGGCUUUAUAUUAAGUGCACUGAUGUUUAUCUAAGAAGCAUAAAUAUGGCAUCAAUUGUAGAUCAAGUUUUGUGUAGCUGCAGUACACUAUGUAUCCUAACCAGGAACUAAAUAGCCACUAUAUUGUUUGCGCUGUUUUAUGUGUUAGGUCAACUUGGCCUCCGUGCAUGCUUCAUGAGCUUCAAGAGCGGCAAGAAGUUUGCUUUUACCAUCGACAUGACAGACUUGAACCGGUUCGUCCAGUAUGACUAAACCUUCUUUCUACAUUGCUAUGCUGUCUACUUAUUGCUAAACCUUGUUUGAUUUGGGACAGCUCUGUCUACCCUUCUGAGCCAUCUGAGCUGCCGAUCAAGGUUUGCGAAGGGCAGACAACACUAGCACAGGCAAGCAUAGACGAGACCAUGACUUCUAUAAGGAACCUGCAACCUGGUCGCACGGUGAUACUACGGCUGUGCCGGAGGGUAUCUCGGCUGAUUCAUUCCUUGCCAGGUUGACCUGAUCACUGGAGUACAGCAUGUAGGAAAGUAGACAUUAUCCGGAUGUGUAGACAGUAGCGUCAUCAGCUUUCCGUAAGUAAGUGUGCGUUGUUAAUAGCUGUUCGGAUCCAUAAAUCAACCCUUCUGUUGACCUGCAAGUGUCAAGCACUGUAUGACUGUAAAUAUAGCUAGAAUCUGACAAACCUUCAUGAACAACGAGUGGGUUUGUUGCUGCAGGUGGAAUGGCACCUUUAACCAAGUGGUUUUGGUCACUGCAAAUCCUUGUAAUUGCCAUUGUAUUGAAGCAGCACUAAAGAGUUGAUAGCCUGUCUACAUUUAUUGUAAACAUGGUUUCCUUUGCGUAUCUACUUUUGGUGAAGUGAAAUGCGAAUUGUUGGUUGGCCAGUUGAAAAAUUGCGGGCAAUUGGAACUGUCAUCGACCCAUUGAAUUGAAGCAGCUCUAAGGAGUUGGUAACCUUUUGCGUCCAUAUUUCGGUUAACCGAAACGCUAACUACUGGCCGCCAGCUGAAAAGUAGAUGUUCCGUUAUUUAGAAAACACUAGCUUUCCUUAACACAACGGUUGAGAUGGCCGAGUUGGUCUAAGGCGCCAGAUUAAGGUUCUGGUCCGAAAGGGCGUGGGUUCAAAUCCCACUCUCAACAGUUGAUUCUUUUUUUCCUCCCUUUUUCAACGGGUGGUAAUUUAGGCUUAAUUUCUUCAACAGUGCUGACCCACACAGAAAGAUUAAUCUGUUUUGAUCAAAUUUUCGCAGUACUUGUUCUGAAAUCCCCAAGAGCAUGCACGGGUGCACUCAAUUUUUUUAAACAUACCCAUAGCAUACACGUAUAGUAAGCUGACGAAAUUAACACGUGCGCGCGCAAAGUCGUUACAAGGAAAGGGGCACAGAAGCAUUUUUUUUUUGUCUCCCCAUUCCCCCUGUAUGCAACGGAAAAAAAAAUGUGGAUGAAGAGGCAAACUAAAAUAGCUGGCCAUGCUUGAAGACGGGUUUAAUUUCUUAGCAAUUUUUGCGGCGCGACCUCGUCGUCACCCGCGCCC
This 9684-nucleotide long non-coding RNA is filed under the name Setaria viridis. RNAcentral's name for it is "long non-coding RNA (SVIR_LNC004995)". The stretch from base 9210 to 9290 matches the Rfam family "tRNA". Lineage: Eukaryota; Viridiplantae; Streptophyta; Magnoliopsida; Poales; Poaceae. The record is from RNAcentral.